CAUACCACACAGUGUACUGAAGCAUAACUACUUUUAUUUCCUAAAUCAGCUAUAUAUGAAUUUAGCUUGUUUAUAGUGUACAGUUUCAUAUUCAUAAACCUUGUAUUAUAAAAGGUUUGGUUAGAUUAUGAGGUAAGUGAGGUUAGGUAAUUUGAGUUAAUAUCUGUUGAACUCUUACUUACCCAACCUAAUCUAACCUUACCUUAUCAAGCCUAAUCUAACCAACUCUUACAUAACCUAAUUAAACCUUUGUAGCCUAGAAUAAUCCUUUACAGGUAAACAGCUUUUCAAGAGAGUUGGGUAUUUAUCUGUGGAAAUAAUAAUAUUUUUUGUACAUGAAGCUGUGACUGAAACAAUGCAAUGCUUCCCAGCAGCUGUGUAUUUCUGCCACUUCAUAGAGAAAUAACUAGAACUUUGUUAACAUAAUAAAAUUCCGUACAGGUGAAAAAUGUUAGCAUCCAGAAAAAAUGAUGCAAACCUCUACUAAAUAUUUACUGAAGGCUUAACUUAGGGAAAUAAACCCUGGAACUAAGGGGCAGAAACCCUAAAACUCUCUGAUCUUCUUAACCCCUUGACUGCAGAUUUCCUACAGUCAGACAUCACCAAGCUACAGGAAAGGAACAAAAAGUGGCUGCUACAAUUCAAUGAAGAAAAAUGUAAAGUCCUGCACCUUGGGAGGGGAUAUCCAGCACACCAAUACCACAUGGGAAACACUCCACUAUCCACCACAGAGGCAGAGAAGGACAUGGGAGUAUAUGUUACCGGGCUACCAGUAAAAGCCAGAUCCGUGCCAAUCGCAGCGGACGGGUUAUGAGGAAGAGAAAGUGAAGGAGUUACAAAUGCAUAGUUCUUUGAUACAUGAAAGUCAUACACUAGGAGGCAAAAAAGGGAUCCAUCCAUCUCAUCUCAUUAACAUAACUCUAGUCCUGAUAUUUCAACAGGUAUUUGUCAUUUGUCACAGACCACUUUGCCUACAGGCACUACACAGACAGGUGUAUUUACCGACAUACACGGGGUGUAGGUUAUCUCAUUUAUCACAUUUACUGACAUACAAGGGGUGUAGGUUAUCUCAUUUAUCACAUUUACUGACAUACAAGGGGUGUAGGUUAUCUCAUUUAUCACAUUUACUGACAUACAAGGGUGUAGGUUAUCUCAUUUAUCACAUUUACUGACAUACAAGGGGGGCAGGCUAUCCCAUUAACACAUGGAACAGCUUGCGGGAAGAGGUGGUGGAGGCGUACAGUGCCCAACAAAUGAUGGAAAGGCAAAGGAAUGUAGAUAUGGA
Eriocheir sinensis (Chinese mitten crab) is the source of this 1285-nucleotide long non-coding RNA. RefSeq lists it as uncharacterized. Lineage: Eukaryota; Metazoa; Arthropoda; Malacostraca; Decapoda; Varunidae. The record is from RefSeq and is a predicted model, not a curated record. The transcript is spliced from 3 exons.